RNAcentral lists this long non-coding RNA (1653 nucleotides) under Marmota monax (woodchuck). Lineage: Eukaryota; Metazoa; Chordata; Mammalia; Rodentia; Sciuridae. The record is from RNAcentral.
UAGCUGUUAACCUAGGUGUCAAGUAUAAGGGAAAUCAUUGUUAUUCUUUAGAUAUUUUUGAAUAUUCAAAACAUUUCUUAAUGAAAUUGAAAUAAUUAUGUAACUUUUUGUCUUUGCUUAGGUUGUCCUGGGGUUUAAUGUAUACUGCAUUCAUCUUGGUCCUUUCCAUAGUCAUUACAAUUAUCAUAACAUCCACCCAAGUUAUACUCAUGACUGGCUUUAUGGUCAUAUUUACACUCUUAUUCUUAUAUGGCUUGUCUUUGGUAAGUUCAUAUGUUUAUUCACACUGUCUCCCUUUGAGUUCUUAGCUACAAAUAGUAAAUAUUAGUGUCCCUGUAGGUUAGUAUAGUCCCUUUUUUCGUGUCCAGUGUGUGGCAUGGUAUCCAUUCCUAGUUAUCCCUUCUCCUUCUAAUAUUCUUUCCAUAUUGCUCUUUCUUCUCUGAAUGAGAUCCUCUAAUUUCUUCUACCUGCCAGGAUGUUUUCUGCAGAAGUUGUAGAUAGAUACCCUUCCUUAGCAUAUUAAUUCAUUUUAAUUUUUCCAAGUUUAUAUUUGUACCCUAUCCUCAGGUCUUUCAGCUUCCGCCCACUUCCUCAACAACAAAAGUCCACUAUCUGAGUAAGGUCAAUAAGGAUCCUCUUUUAGAGAAAAAGAAGAAGAAGAAGAACUGUGAACAGAACAGAAUCACUAUGCCUUACUAUUUUCAUUCUCACUGAUAAAUAUUUUUCAUGAUAUAGAGAUCCUUAUACCAGUGGUUCUCAGUGAAGUAAAUGUCUGCCAUAGCUAAGUAAGUGUGUUCUCUCUUUCAGCUAGCUUUAUCAUUCCUGAUGAGUGUGCUGUUACAGAAAGCUGUCCUCACAAAUUUGUUUGUGUUUCUCCUCACCCUCUUUUGGGGGUUUGUGGGAUUCACUGCCUUCUAUAAACAACUUCCUCCAUCUGUACAGUGGAUUUUGAGUAUUUGUAGCCCUUUCGCCUUUAGAGUUGGAAUGACUCAGGUAAAAAUAUUGCUAAUUAAUUAUUGAACUUUCAAAAGAACUUGAUACUUCACAAGUGAUUAUAAGCAACACUAUUUUCAUCCAGGAACCUUUAAGCAGUUUUUCUACUUCAAAACUAACUUUGAAAAUGUUCACUUUUCAGUGUACUAAUUAAGUGCUUCACAAGUUUCUCACGUUAUAAGAUCUGUUUCAUUUGUCACAUUGAAGAUAUUUUGAGAUACUGCAGUGACUUUAUAAAAACAAGCACAUGAGUCCUUAUUUAAACAUCUAUACUUAGAACAUUGUAUUUUUUUAAACCAGUGUUUUUAAAUAAUAUUCUUUUGUUUACCCUAAAGUGGAUGUGCUUUUUCUAGUUGUUUUAUUUACUAAAAAGCUAGUUAGUAAUAAUAAUUCUAGUUUUAAUAAUAAUAGUAAUUCUAAUAAUUCUGAAAGUAAUAGUUCUAAUAAUUCUUGAUGCAACUUAUAUAUUUAUUAACUUAAAUAUAUAUUGUGAUUUUUGGUUGAAUCUUAGAUUCUCCACCUGGAUUAUAACUUGAAUGGAGUAGUUUUCCCUGACCCCUCAGAAAAAUCAUAUACAAUGCUAGCAACAUUUUCUGUGUUGGCUUUUGAUGGUCUUAUCUACUUGAUGCUGGCACUGUACUUUGACAAAAUCUUACCCCG